Molecule: ribosomal RNA, 492 nt
Filed under: uncultured bacterium
Lineage: Bacteria
Description: partial 16S ribosomal RNA
Rfam family: Bacterial small subunit ribosomal RNA
Source: RNAcentral
GAUGAACGCUCGCUACAGGCUUAACACAUGCAAGUCGAGGGGGAACGCCAUCGAAAGCUUGCUUUUGAUGGGCGUCGACCGGCGCACGGGUGAGUAACGCGUAUCCAACCUGCCCAUCACUUGGGGAUAACCUUGCGAAAGUAAGACUAAUACCCAAUGAUAUCUCUAGAAGACAUCUGAAAGAGAUUAAAGAUUUAUCGGUGAUGGAUGGGGAUGCGUCUGAUUAGCUUGUUGGCGGGGUAACGGCCCACCAAGGCAACGAUCAGUAGGGGUUCUGAGAGGAAGGUCCCCGACAUUGGAACUGAGACACGGGCCACACACCUACGGGAGGGAGCAGUGAGGAAGAUAGGUGAAUGGGCGAGAGCCUGAACCAGCCAAGUAGCGUGCAGGAACACGGCGCUAUGGGUUGUAAACUGCUUUUAGAAGGGAAUAAAGUGAGAGUCGUGACUCUUUUUGUAUGUACCUUAUGAAUAAGGACCGGCUAAUUCCGUG